GGGGAAACUCGACGAAUAAUGGGUAAAAACCCAUCAAAAUCAGCUUGGAACCCCCUGGAAGUGUGUGAUACCUGACCCUGGAGUGUCCCGGUGCAGCUGGAGCACCUGAUAUCGGGUGGACCGGGUCCCGGUGAGACGCUCCGGGGCUGGGGAGACUGAGGCCUACCCGGGAAGGGAGCGGGGUGGACGGCCGCCGCCUCACUUUCCGUCCCCGGCAAAUACCGAGACCCAUGACAAAUCUGGGGCCCCCGGCCUCGCUUACCCCCCCUUUGGGCUGGCGGGGGUUAUCCCGGCCCCCACCGGGCAGACACCAUCGCGGCAGUGUUUCUGGGCGACUAGCCGCCGAUAGCCACCAUGCGGCCCCCACAAAAUGGCCGACAGCGAGGCACCUAUUUGGCACACCGCUGAGGGAAGCUCCCACACCACUCAGCCAGGGCUAUGAACACCCAUGGCAUUUACCAGCAGUCAUGACGGGGCGACAGCAGAGACCUGCCAUUCUGCUGAACAGUCACCCCACAAGCAGACUUACACGCCAGCAGAGGACCCAACGCUUACCUGCACUGAGCGUGCCCCACUGGAGAUCUCGAGACCCCAAGCGACCAGCUCAUCACAGCGUUAGCUACAUCUGGGUACUGUGCCCAUAAAGCAACUUACCCGCACUCACACACCAGCUGGGUACACAGCCGAGGUGGUCCGCAGACACUUUAACCCACAGAGGGACCCACAGCUCCAAAGGACGCAGAGAUGCUCUAUGAGGAACAUCUGGGUGCCGGAGAAAAGGACACUGCUCAACACCAUCCACAACUCUAAAGCAACAGGUACCCCAGCGCCAUGUGACAGACGGCAAUUAAAGCAAAAGCUGCUAGACCUGCUGCUAACAGCCCCACUCACAGAAACCCUGGCUGUGAACACUUCCAAAUGGACACAUCUACUACCGACACUUAGUGCAGUUAAUCACUUAAUAUGCCAUAACCUGCCUGGUGGCAACUGUUUAACUUACCUGUGUAAUCUCUCUUAGAUAAGCUGUUAAUACAGGUGAACAUCAGUCUACUCACCUGCCUAAUCGACCUUGGGUCUUAAGCUGAGCCCUAAUCACCACCUAGCCUAAAUUAAGGGGGCAGCCCAAGCCGGGUUAGAACCUGCAUUAGACCUAAUCACUCUUAUGAGGCGACAUAAACAGACAAGACAAGCGACGGUAAUGGCAACAGCUCAGGUCUUGUACUACAUAACUUAGAUGAGAACAGAUGAAUAUCUUGCAAUCACAGAAAUGUUAUGUAUAAUGCACCCAUACUACGUCAGUGUUAUUAUUACUCAUGUUAUUUCACUACUUAUCCCUUUAAAAUUGCAUAAGCUUUCCCAAGCGGUAAACCCCCUGUAGGCAACACGAUUUUAUUUUACUUAAAGGCAACCGAGCCAGUUCCUGCUAUCAGCAGCCCACUGGAACUAACUGGGGGCAUAGACCCACAAAUCUACUUGCAGCAACAGGUAGAGGCCUGAUACUGGGAAAGGGGAGUUUAACUCGGGGCUCUAGGGCAAUAACCUAAUCCUCCCUGCAACAACCAAACGAACUUGCUACCAUAGUUAACUAUACCUAGCUUGUAUGCAGCCUAGUCUACCCCAACCUUACUAUUGUUACUCAUAAUAAUGUUAUCCAAGCAUACUCAACGUACUUUAACUGAAGCUGCUCAUUUAUAAUUAACCUUAUCACAUGCAUGUCUAGAGUAGAAUGUUUAAUACGUCUACUAAUGUUACAAAGCUUGUAAUUUUACAGUUAACCAAUAAGCCUGUUUAACCUUUAACGAACACUCGACUUGUAUUAGCCUAUUAGAAUCAUACCAAAUAGACAAAGCGGAUUAUCAAUCUUACGUUUAACUAUUAAUAUGCCUAAAUACUUUAACAUGUUAUUUCAUAUAAGCAAUGUUUACUAGCCUGUUAUAUUCAUUUUAACAAAAAAUGUGCAAAUGUAAAAAACCACGAACAUGUCUGCAUGAACCUGCCUGUGUCUGCUGUCGUGGCUACACGGGCCUGCAUGUAAAAUCUUUUGCACCAAAAAUAAAGAAUUAAAAAAAAAAAAAA
This is a non-coding RNA of Pelobates cultripes (western spadefoot toad), 2076 nucleotides long. NCBI's taxonomy places the organism in Eukaryota, Metazoa, Chordata, Amphibia, Anura, Pelobatidae. The record is from the annotation of a GenBank genome assembly.